GACGAACGCUGGCGGCGUGCCUAAUACAUGCAAGUCGAACGAGAGCGACCGGUGCUUGCACUGGUCAAUCUAGUGGCGAACGGGUGAGUAACACGUGGGUAACCUGCCCAUCAGAGGGGGAUAACAUCCGGAAACGGAUGCUAAAACCGCAUAGGUCUUCGAACCGCAUGGUUUGAAGAGGAAAAGAGGCGCAAGCUUCUGCUGAUGGAUGGACCCGCGGUGCAUUAGCUAGUUGGUGAGGUAACGGCUCACCAAGGCCGUGAUGCAUAGCCGACCUGAGAGGGUGAUCGGCCACAUUGGGACUGAGACACGGCCCAAACUCCUACGGGAGGCAGCAGUAGGGAAUCUUCCGCAAUGGACGCAAGUCUGACGGAGCAACGCCGCGUGAGUGAAGAAGGUUUUCGGAUCGUAAAACUCUGUCGUUAGAGAAGAACAAGCGCUAGAGUAACUGUUAGCGCCUUGACGGUAUCUAACCAGAAAGCCACGGCUAACUACGUG
RNAcentral lists this ribosomal RNA (498 nucleotides) under uncultured bacterium. RNAcentral's name for it is "partial 16S ribosomal RNA". It matches the Rfam family "Bacterial small subunit ribosomal RNA", at positions 28 to 507 of the family's 1533-position model. The record is from RNAcentral.